Unclassified non-coding RNA from Macaca fascicularis (crab-eating macaque), 148 nucleotides. It matches the Rfam family "Metazoan signal recognition particle RNA". From Rfam's summary of the family: The signal recognition particle (SRP) is a universally conserved ribonucleoprotein. NCBI's taxonomy places the organism in Eukaryota, Metazoa, Chordata, Mammalia, Primates, Cercopithecidae. The record is from Ensembl.
GCUGGGUGUGGUGAUGUGCACCUGUAGUCUCAGCUACUCAGGAGGCUGAGGCAGGUGGAUUGAUUGAGUCCGGGACAUCAAGGCUGCAGUGAGCCCUGACUGGGCCACUGUGCUGUAGCCUGGGUGACAGAACAAGACCCUGUCUCAA